GAUGAACGCUGGCGGCGUGCCUAAUACAUGCAAGUCGAGCGAACAGACGAGGAGCUUGCUCCUCUGACGUUAGCGGCGGACGGGUGAGUAACACGUGGAUAACCUACCUAUAAGACUGGGAUAACUUCGGGAAACCGGAGCUAAUACCGGAUAAUAUAUUGAACCGCAUGGUUCAAUAGUGAAAGACGGCUUUGCUGUCACUUAUAGAUGGAUCCGCGCCGCAUUAGCUAGUUGGUAAGGUAACGGCUUACCAAGGCAACGAUGCGUAGCCGACCUGAGAGGGUGAUCGGCCACACUGGAACUGAGACACGGUCCAGACUCCUACGGGAGGCAGCAGUAGGGAAUCUUCGGCAAUGGGCGAAAGCCUGACGGAGCAACGCCGCGUGAGUGAUGAAGGUCUUCGGAUCGUAAAACUCUGUUAUUAGGGAAGAACAAAUGUGUAAGUAACUAUGCACGUCUUGACGGUACCUAAUCAGAAAGCCACGGCUAACUACGUG
This 497-nucleotide ribosomal RNA is filed under the name uncultured bacterium. RNAcentral describes it as "partial 16S ribosomal RNA". It matches the Rfam family "Bacterial small subunit ribosomal RNA", at positions 28 to 507 of the family's 1533-position model. The record is from RNAcentral.